This 968-nucleotide long non-coding RNA is filed under the name Macaca fascicularis (crab-eating macaque). RNAcentral's name for it is "lncRNA (ENSMFAG00000053909.1)". The record is from RNAcentral. Lineage: Eukaryota; Metazoa; Chordata; Mammalia; Primates; Cercopithecidae.
GGAGAAAGUCUGCAACGCUGGGCCUGGAAUGGGAGGGCGGCGCGGGCCUGGAGGGGCUGCCUCAGAGGCGGCCGGAGCAGCAGCCGGAGCUGGGAAGAGGGAGAUGGCAGGAAGCAGGGAGGUAAACUUGUCCCGCUGCCCACCUGGGCAGACUCAAAAGCCAUUAGGUUUCCCAGAGCAGCAGGCUUGGUGAGAGAUGCAUGUUGUCUGCUGCCAGAGGGGAGGUCUGGCCCGGAAGACAGUCAGGAGCUGGAUCUGGCAGCUGUGGGGCUCUUAGGUGGGGAGGACGGUGGAAGUGGAUGCACCUGGGGGACCGUCUCAGAGGGGCUGGCCCACUCCUACUGUGCCAGAUCUGGAGGUGUGCCCCUGUCUGAACUCCAUCCUGCCUGCUGCCCAGCAACUCCCUGGCUUCCUCCCUGUCACAUGGGACUCCCGCACCCGGUGCUGUCCAGGGACCCCCCACACUCCACACCCUCCGGACCUCGCAGGACAUUUCCAGGUCUGGCCACAAGGUGGAGCGUGGCAGCUGCAGGACAGUGCUGGGGGCCGGGCUGCAGAGGAGCCUGGACCUGCGCCCGGUGACCUCCCCGCUCUGUGAACGUGUGGGAGUUUGUGUCUGUGCAUCCAGAGAACCAGAGGGCUGUGGUUGACUUGCCGUGCUCCCCCCAACCCCCCACUGGGAUUGCCUGGGUCUCUGGGGGAUCACUGAGAAGCUGGAUAAAGAGGGCUGGCACUGUUGCCUCGGCUCACUAAUGCCUCAUGGUUUUACAGGUGAGGAGACUGAGGCCCAGAGAAGGAAGUCACGUGCUGAGGUCACUGACUAAUCAGUGGCUGAUCUGGUCGAACCCAGAUCUCUUGAGCUGUAAGGUCUCUGCUUUUCCUGUGGCAUGGAGAGGGGCUUCUCCCACCUAGGGAGGGGAGAUCCUGUUGUACUAGGGAGGCAGGGGAUUAAAGAUGGACUGAGAGGU